CAGGUUACUACAAGAUAUUGAAUAUAGCGCCCCGUGCUAUAUAUAUACAUAGUGCUAUAUAUAUAUAGAGUCGUUAGUAUCUGGUGGAUGUGAGGAGUGAAUUUGAAAGUUUUGGCUGCUUUUCUCUUCUGGGCGCAGGAAACUGAAGCUGGAGGAACCACUGAGAAGGCGAGACCUCCAGUGUCCUAGAGAGGACCCGGAAGUAACCUUGGCCGUUGUAGGCUAGGCUCGCUCUAGGACACGCCUUUAGGGUUAGGUAGUAGUUAAAGUUUAGCUCCCGGUUUUGGAGCUCGGGGUCAGAAGGUGGGACUCUCAGGCUGGAAGGUUGGGGUGACUCAGGAGUGAGAUGGUCCCUGGGUUCCGCGGAAGGAGCAGCUGUGCGGACCCAUUGGAACCCCAGGUCCGGACCCACUUUUCUGCUCUGGCGCUCUUGGACCCCUUGCUGGUCCUCAGCACAGGCUUUCUUUGCUUACGGACGAUUACUUUGGAAAUUGUCAUUUGAUAGCAUGUAAAUAAUUUUAGCAUUUUUUUUCCUAACAGUAAUUUCUUAUGCCAUUUUGUAAGUCAGAAUGUAUCUGACAUUUAAGUUGUUCUGUUUACCAGAGAUUCCUACUUCCUUGCCACAGUGGAUAUAACCUCAAGGAGGACUAUCUCUCAACGGAGAGAGUUUAAUACCUUCUUUGUGGGAGUUAGUUCAACCCAGCAGACCAUGAAGCCAAGCAAAGCUGAAGGUUUGUCCUUCCAAGUUCCAGGGGAGCCUGUGGGAUUUGUGAUCCUGAAAAUGGAGGCAGAUGAACAUAUUUGGAAACAGGAAUCUGACAUUCAAAGGAAGAACCCCACAACAAGGAGCUAUUUUGCCAGUGUUUCAGUUUUGCUAUCAAGAGACACCUGGGCUCCAGCAACUCUGAGCUGGCUCCAGGCUGUGGGAGCUCUACUACCAGUGGCUGAACCUGAAACACACUCAGAUCCUGGAGCUGCUGAUACUGAGCAGUUCCUGGCCAUUCUGCCCAGGAGCUCCAAGCCUGGGUGCAGGAGCAGCAUCCUGAGAGCAGGGAAGAGUUGCUAACUGUGCUGGAGGAUUUAGAGGAAGAAUUGGAUGAACCAGGAGAACAGAUGUCCCACUUUCAUGGAGCAUGAGGUAUGAAAGAGACUGUACUCUGCCACUUAAAAUAUCAUGCCCUUCAACAUGAUAGAGGGCAUUUAUGAACAUCAUCCUUAAUGUUGAAAGACUAAAAAGCUCUCAUCUAAGUUCAGGAAUGAGAUAAGAUACCUGUUUCACCAGUGCUAUUCAACAUUGUACUGAAUGUUCUAGUCAAAGCAAUUAGAGAAGAAAAAUCAAUCAAAUGCAUCCAAAUUGGAAAGGAAGUAAUACUGUCUCUAUUCACAGAUGACAUGAUCUUAUAUAUAGAAAAAUCCCACAGAAUCCACAAGGAAAUUCCCAAAGUAUCUUCUAGAGCUAGUAGAUGAAUUCAGCAAAGUUGCAGAGUACAAGGUCAAUAUACAAAAAUCAGUUGUGUUUCUAUAUAUCGACAAUGAACAAUCCAAAAAGAAAAUUAAGAAAGCAGUUUCAACUAUAAUAGUAUCUAAAA
Non-coding RNA from Vicugna pacos (alpaca), 1589 nucleotides. NCBI's taxonomy places the organism in Eukaryota, Metazoa, Chordata, Mammalia, Artiodactyla, Camelidae. The record is from RefSeq and is a predicted model, not a curated record.